RNAcentral lists this ribosomal RNA (1320 nucleotides) under Triticum aestivum (bread wheat). Its description in RNAcentral is "partial small subunit ribosomal RNA". Lineage: Eukaryota; Viridiplantae; Streptophyta; Magnoliopsida; Poales; Poaceae. The record is from RNAcentral.
AUGGAUUUUCUUCCGACCGCCUCCACCCCCCGUGACACGGACGAUGCCGAGGUGGGAUCCCGGGAAGGGACCCGCCAGGAGGAGGAGGCCCCGGAGGUGUCGCAGGACAACCUCCCGGACUUUGCACCAGACUCGGCUCCGGAUCCCAUAGUGGCUCCGGAGUCCGGCGGGCGGCCCCUUCGUAAGAAGGGCAAGACCAUGACACCGGCAGCCUCCGUCCAACCGGAGGCGCCGGAUAGCUUGCUGGAGGCACUCAAUGGCGCCUCCAUCGAAGAGGAACACCACACUGUUAUGAGUGCGGUGAUUCAGAAGGUGCAGCUCGCCAAGAGCGGGCUGACCGAAGCCUGCAGCAUCCUUCUAACAGGCUUUGAGGCUGUGCUGCUGACCUCUGUCGCACUGACUGCGGAGGUCAAUACUUUGAAGGAAAGCCUCGAGCGGUCCGAGAACGAGCUCGGCCAUGCCAAGAAGCAGCUCGAGGACAAGGAAGGGGCCACUAACGAGGUGGCUACCCUGAAAGAGGCGGUGGCCACAGCCGAACGUAAUGCGGCCGCGGAGUGCACCGAGCGAGAGAAGCAGGAGGCGCGGGUGGCGGAGGUACAGCAAGAGCUCCAGGAUCUCGUGAAAAAACAUGAGAGCCUAGAGCGUGACUCGAAGACUCGAGAGUCUGAGCUUGCAACGACUCUUGAGAGUGCCAAAGCCGCUAAGGCCGAAGCCUACAAGGCCCUCCAAGAAAUUGAGGCGUUGAAGAAAAUAGCAGCGGGUAAGGCAUUUUUCAUGCAAAGAAAGCAUGUGAGUGUUAAUUACCUGUUGCUUACCCGAAUUCGGAGAUCUCCAAGAGCGUUCGCAGAUCUUCCUCGCAGCAUGUCCGAUGCUGCCGUGUUCUACCGGCCUGAGGAGGGGAAAUCGACGGAGAAGGUCUUCUGGUCUCAGUAUGCUAAGGCCGGACAUCCGGUGCCCCUUAGCGACCAGCUGAAGCAGCUGGUCGAGCUCCACAAGGCGGCCGAACAGGCCGUGAAGGGCCUCAUAGUUCGGCUGUGGCCUAAGGAGGCCAUGCCUGGGCGCUACUUCGGCCUGGUGCAGCGGCUGCUGGAUGCGUGCCCGUGGGUUGAAGUCAUCAAGCACUCCGCCUGUAUUGAAGGUGCCCGUCGGGCCCUUGCCCGCGCAAAGGUGCACUGGGGCAAGAUGGAUGCCCAGAAGCUCGUGACGGACCCGCCACCGCAGGGCAGGGAGCAUCGCACGCCCGAGAUGUAUUAUAAGAGUGUGCUGAAGGGCGCCCGCUCUAUUGCGGGUGAGUGCUCCAAAGAUGUAAUAUUUGAGUAG